UGAAGAAUCCUUUUGGAAACGUUGGC
RNAcentral lists this non-coding RNA (26 nucleotides) under Mus musculus (house mouse). The record is from RNAcentral. Lineage: Eukaryota; Metazoa; Chordata; Mammalia; Rodentia; Muridae.